UCGGUACUCCCUCCGAUCCAUAUUACUUGUCGCAAUAUUAUAUGUAUCUAGACACUUUUUAAACAUAGAUGCAUUCAUAUUUGAACCAAUUUGCGACAAGUAAUAUGAAUCGGAGAGAGUAUUAG
Non-coding RNA from Brachypodium distachyon (stiff brome), 125 nucleotides. The record is from Rfam. Lineage: Eukaryota; Viridiplantae; Streptophyta; Magnoliopsida; Poales; Poaceae.